Molecule: ribosomal RNA, 860 nt
Filed under: bacterium
Lineage: Bacteria
Description: bacterial SSU rRNA
Rfam family: Bacterial small subunit ribosomal RNA
Source: RNAcentral
UGCAGUCGAGCGGAACGAGUUAUCUGAACCUUCGGGGAACGAUAACGGCGUCGAGCGGCGGACGGGUGAGUAAUGCCUAGGAAAUUGCCCUGAUGUGGGGGAUAACCAUUGGAAACGAUGGCUAAUACCGCAUGAUGCCUACGGGCCAAAGAGGGGGACCUUCGGGCCUCUCGCGUCAGGAUAUGCCUAGGUGGGAUUAGCUAGUUGGUGAGGUAAGGGCUCACCAAGGCGACGAUCCCUAGCUGGUCUGAGAGGAUGAUCAGCCACACUGGAACUGAGACACGGUCCAGACUCCUACGGGAGGCAGCAGUGGGGAAUAUUGCACAAUGGGCGCAAGCCUGAUGCAGCCAUGCCGCGUGUGUGAAGAAGGCCUUCGGGUUGUAAAGCACUUUCAGUCGUGAGGAAGGUGGUGUAGUUAAUAGCUGCAUCAUUUGACGUUAGCGACAGAAGAAGCACCGGCUAACUCCGUGCCAGCAGCCGCGGUAAUACGGAGGGUGCGAGCGUUAAUCGGAAUUACUGGGCGUAAAGCGCAUGCAGGUGGUUUGUUAAGUCAGAUGUGAAAGCCCGGGGCUCAACCUCGGAAUAGCAUUUGAAACUGGCAGACUAGAGUACUGUAGAGGGGGGUAGAAUUUCAGGUGUAGCGGUGAAAUGCGUAGAGAUCUGAAGGAAUACCGGUGGCGAAGGGCGGCCCCCUGGACAGAUACUGACACUCAGAUGCGAAAGCGUGGGGAGCAACAGGAUUAGAUACCCUGGUAGUCCACGCCGUAAACGAUGUCUACUUGGGAGGUUGUGGCCUUGAGCCGUGGCUUUCGGAGCUAACGCGUUAAGUAGACCGCCCUGGGGAGUACGGUCGCAGAUUA